This 391-nucleotide ribosomal RNA is filed under the name uncultured soil crust cyanobacterium. RNAcentral describes it as "bacterial SSU rRNA". It matches the Rfam family "Bacterial small subunit ribosomal RNA", at positions 376 to 770 of the family's 1533-position model. Lineage: Bacteria; Bacillati; Cyanobacteriota. The record is from RNAcentral.
CGAAAGCCUGACGGAGCAAGACCGCGUGGGGGAAGAAGGCUCUUGGGUUGUAAACCCCUUUUCUCUGGGAAGAAAGUUGUGAAAGCAACCUGACGGUACCAGAGGAAUCAGCAUCGGCUAACUCCGUGCCAGCAGCCGCGGUAAGACGGAGGAUGCAAGCGUUAUCCGGAAUGAUUGGGCGUAAAGCGUCUGCAGGUGGCAGUUCAAGUCUGCUGUCAAAGACCGGGGCUUAACUUCGGAAAGGCAGUGGAAACUGAACAGCUAGAGUAUGGUAGGGGCAGAGGGAAUUCCUGGUGUAGCGGUGAAAUGCGUAGAGAUCAGGAAGAACAUCGGUGGCGAAGGCGCUCUGCUGGACCAUAACUGACACUCAGGGACGAAAGCUAGGGGAGCG